Molecule: ribosomal RNA, 421 nt
Filed under: uncultured Chryseobacterium sp.
Lineage: Bacteria; Pseudomonadati; Bacteroidota; Flavobacteriia; Flavobacteriales; Weeksellaceae
Description: bacterial SSU rRNA
Rfam family: Bacterial small subunit ribosomal RNA
Source: RNAcentral
GAGGAAUAUUGGACAAUGGGUGAGAGCCUGAUCCAGCCAUCCCGCGUGAAGGACGACGGCCCUAUGGGUUGUAAACUUCUUUUGUAUAGGGAUAAACCUAGAUACGUGUAUCUAGCUGAAGGUACUAUACGAAUAAGCACCGGCUAACUCCGUGCCAGCAGCCGCGGUAAUACGGAGGGUGCAAGCGUUAUCCGGAUUUAUUGGGUUUAAAGGGUCCGUAGGCGGAUGUGUAAGUCAGUGGUGAAAUCUCACAGCUUAACUGUGAAACUGCCAUUGUUACUGCAUGUCUUGAGUGUUGUUGAAGUAGCUGGAAUAAGUAGUGUAGCGGUGAAAUGCAUAGAUAUAACGAGGAACUCCGAUUGCGUAGGCAGCUUACUAAGCCAUAACUGACGCUCAUGCACGAAAGCGUGGGGAUCAAACA